Molecule: ribosomal RNA, 292 nt
Filed under: uncultured microorganism
Description: partial 16S ribosomal RNA
Rfam family: Bacterial small subunit ribosomal RNA
Source: RNAcentral
GUGCCAGCAGCCGCGGUAAUACGGAGGAUCCGAGCGUUAUCCGGAUUUAUUGGGUUUAAAGGGUGCGUAGGCGGCCUAUUAAGUCAGGGGUGAAAUACGGUGGCUCAACCAUCGCAGUGCCUUUGAUACUGAUGGGCUUGAAUCCAUUUGAAGUGGGCGGAAUAAGACAAGUAGCGGUGAAAUGCAUAGAUAUGUCUUAGAACUCCGAUUGCGAAGGCAGCUCACUAAGCUGGUAUUGACGCUGAUGCACGAAAGCGUGGGGAUCGAACAGGAUUAGAUACCCUGGUAGUCC